UCCCAUGCAGCUACAGAGAUAAAUAUGUGAUUAUUCUCUCAUUCCCACUUGUACCACAAGUGAUUAUUUACAUCUUAAGAAAUUGAUGUUUCUGACUGAAGUCUUCAGGGUAUUCCUGAUGCUGCUCUUCAGCUGAUUGUAGAAACUAAUUGGGAGAGAGAGAUUUACGGCUACAAUUAACUCACAACGUCGGUGUGUUUUCAUCGAGUCAGUCCAGACAGAGGUUGACCUCCUCCGUGUGAACUCAUAAUUCAGAUCUCAAAGAGCAAGAAGCAAAACCUCACAGUUUGAACAUCUGUUGUAGAGCAAAAAGGAGACGAAUAAUAGCUGGGUUAACUUCUUAAAAUCCUGUGCUGCAGGAAGAGUGUUUAGAAAGAGAUGUUUAUUGAGAGUGUGCAGUAGUGGUGUUAUUCUUCUUAGGGUGCAAAGCUCUGAGUUGUUUCAGGGUUUGGUACGUCUCCUCUGGUCGAAGCACUGUUGGUGCUAUGUGUCCUGGGCUUUGGAGAUGGACAUCCCUGGGGGCAGAGGAGUCCGUUCCUUCCAUAGUGAUGAUCCCGAUUCUGCAGUACGAUGCCUUUGAAUCUCUCUGAUGUUCCUUUGGAUGUUUUGGUAGCUCUAACUUUCAGAAAACUUUUUUUUGAAACUUCUUCACUCAUCUCCAGCUUCAAUGGGUGUCGAAUUGAAUACCCUUUGUUGAGUGUAAGGCGUCUGUUAUCUGUUUUGGCAGCCUUCGGUUUGCAGCGUUCAAAGAAAAACGCUUCCCUCAGUGCUGCAGGUUUUCUUCUUCUGCUUUAACAUCUUCAAACAACUUAAUUUUGUGGAGUUUGUCCAUUUCCCAAAGUUUUUUAUCUCUGCCAUCCAGGCUCGAGGAUUCAUGUGCAGAUAGAAUAUUUGGGGGUAUGGGAAGGAGAGGUUUGGAGGUAAAAAAUGGCGUUAUUCAUUGGUUACUUCUGCAUUUCUGCCAUUUAAUUUUGUUUGCACAAUCAAGCAGCUUGGAACUGGCUGAAUUGUGCAAAGUGACUUGUGCACUGUCACAUGUGAUGGCAUCCCUGUGUUUCUUGAACGCAGUUGGAAGAGUGGUGCUUGUGCUGGUGACAUGGGUUGGUAGAGCUGGGGCUCCUGUCUCUUUGGGGUUGCUGAGGUCUGGGCAAGACUUCCAGCUGUGAUGGCAGUAUGGAAGUCCCCUAAUGCACAAGGGAUAGUUAGGCAUUGUUUUACCACUGCCUGCAGUAGGGAUGACCUGUGCUUCCACCAGGUCUGAGCUGCAUUAAACUGCUUUAAUCUUGUAAAUUGACUUAUUCUUCACUCACUCAGAGGAACUUGUUCAGAGCUUUUAGGCUGCUAAUGCCAUAAGUACAGCACUACGCCUACAAGCCAAUUACAGAAAGCGAUGACUUGAGGAAGGGGAGCUUUGGAAUUAGCCCUUCUGAUAGAAAGUAGUGCAGAGCACACCAAUGCCCCAGCGCUUUGCUUGCUUUGCUCAGUGCUGGUGAGUGCAGGCCAGCUGGCAAUGAGGAGCUUUUUGUGGCCGUUCUUGCAGCCCAAGUGAGAUAUUUGAGACUAAUAAGCUAUGUUACCAUUGAGAAAAAGGAUGUCAGGUCUUUUCCCUUGGGCUGUCUCCAAACCUCCAUCAAACAAUGGUGCUUCAGUUAGGGCUGUGGCAGGUUCUGGCAGGAGCAUUCAAGAGUGCUGCAGUGGUGUUGAGCUGCUGUGGCUUGUGAAUCAAGGGGGGAAAGGAAAAAUAAGAGGAAAGGCUUUGUGUAACACUUAAAAAAAUAAUAAUGAUAAUCGUAAUAAUGACUUCUUUUCUGUAAAAGUGUUACUUGAAGAAUACAUCAGCACUUUCAGGCUAGAAAAAUGUGGGGUUUUUCUCUGCUGUUCAUGGGUGCAACCGAAGGGACUUUGUUCGUGCUUGGAAAACGUGACUUGAAUUAGCAGAGCAUAAGAACCUCCUGCUGGAGAUGUGGCUUCCUGAGAGUUGAUCGUGUGAGAGUAUUUUGUGAAAAAACAACAUAACUGUUCACUUUGUGCUAGCAAUUAGGCCAUCUUUUACUAAAGGCUGAGUUUAUAAAAAAACAACAGACUGAAAUGAGCACCAUUUGCAAUGGGCUGCCUGAAAUUUUAGUAACUGACUCUUAUUGCUAUAUUAUUUUUUUUAAUGUUGCAGGGAAGAGAAAAUUGAGAAUAAAUUGGCGAGUACACCACACACUUGUGUCUUAUCUCCAGCUUUAUAUUUAGAAUUGAGUUUAAAAUAAGAGUUCCUUUUGUUUUUAGGUUUGGGCCAUAUGUGCUGCUGUCUCUAUAAAAUGUGAGUGAAGCUAAUUAACUACAAAUGAAACACCAAACUGCUUUGGGUAGGGGAUAUUGCGCACGGUCUCGAUGGAGUGAUGCUCGUGAUUAUCCUCUGCCAUGACCAACUUCUGAGCGUGUGGUCUGGUUCCAUCAGAAGACCUUGGUAUUAGUGAGUUCCUACAGGAUUUGUACAGGAUUUUAUCCUACAGGAUACAAGAAGAGGCAGUGCUCAUUGCUGGCUACGGGAGAAAGCUGAGGUGAGCCAUGGCAGCUCUGGGAGGCGAGUUUGAUUUACUGUGUUGUGGUGUUGAGGGAGGUAAUAGAUACCAGUGUGGAGCUCGCUUCCAUUACUGUUAUUUUUGCUGCCAGUGUAUCAACAUGUUAGCAAAUAUUUGCAUAAAUAUGGGGGUAUGAUAUGUCCUGAAAGCAUUGCUGGAGUUUCCAAUUCCACUUCUGUAUUGUUGGUGGUUACUCACAUAGCCAGUAAGCUGAGCACCAGCGGGAUCAUCCUGCUGGAGAUGGAUUACCACUGUGAAACACUAUAGAGUCAAUGAAUGAAUUUGUUUCUGAGAUAUUUGGGCUGUACAGGGUUGCCAACCAUAUACUGAAAGAGGAAUAUUUAGUCCCAGAUCUGCUGCAGGUAGGCAGGUGCACAGACUGGGAGCAUGAGAGUACAUCAUGACUAUUUGGUGUAGCUUGAAGCACAAGGAGCUUUCUAAAUCUUGCAAACUAAAUUUGAUUCCUACAUAGAAAUUAGAAGCCUUCAGAAGUUGGAAUGUGUUCUUAAGACAACUUUCAUCUUAUUUUAGACGAACGUCUCAUUAGGUCACUCCUCUUUCUGUUCUGAAGCUCGCACUGCCACAACAUCAUAAUUAAAUGGGAUUCAUUUUCCAAUUUUAACAUAUAUUGUUUGAUGGUUGUUUUGUUUUGUUGGGUUUUUUUAAGACAAUGUACUGGAAUAGCUGAACUUGGAAUGGUAAGAAGAAGAUUGCUGUUCACCAGAGAAUCGAAGGAAUUGUACCAAUAUUUAUUCCAUUUCUAUAGCUGAUAAUUGGUUUCAGGUUCAUGUCUGUGGGCAAUCAGCUGUGUCUGUCUUCCAGUUAAGGAAAGCCUCUGAUGUGAUCUCCAGUUAAUCACCAUGAUCUUUUGAGGCUUCAUAGCUGCUGAAAUAAUGGGAAUUUAUCCUUCUUAUUACAGUGUUAGUAGUGAUGGGGUUUUAGCAUAUAUUGAAUAUUGCACAGGAUGCUAAAGUUCGGUAACUCUUUAUAUGAGACCUCUCUACCCAGGCUGAUCAGUGGGAUUGGAUGGAUGAUGCUGCAGUGAUCCCUCCUCUAGGUAGGGGUCAUAUUGAUUUUAGUUCUGGAGGAAAAGGAACGGGGAGAUGAAUUUAUUGGUAGCUAGUCCUUAACAACUGGAACUCCUGGGCACUUGGGCCUUCAGUAUCAUUGUUAGCUUGUCUUCAGAUCUCCCUGCUGCCAUGUUGCAAGGCACCUAGCUUACUAAUUACUGCACUGAUUGAUUCCUAGCUAAAAUUGCUGAAGCAGCCAGAUCAGCAGGAAAAUAGGUUGUUGAGCUUGAGAUUUGCUGCAGCACUGAGCAUUGAUAUAUCAUUAUCUACAGCUGCCUGCAUUUCUUUAAGGAAAUACAAAUAGUGGUAUAAGGUGCAUUAUGUGUUAAUGAUGAUUGCCUGACUAGAUUUGACUUCACUAAAAAGCUGUCUUGGAGAAAUCUGUAUGAUUUUUUAUUUAUUUAUUUUUUUUCCUGAAAAACCCUAUUUUCCUGUAUGGAGUUUUAUAAUUUAUUUCUACAAGCUUGUCUUUCUUGAGUAUAACACUGAAUUUCAUACAGUUCUCAACUGCAUGAAGUUGAAUUUGGGCUCUUCUUCAAAGCAAUAAGUUGCUUUCCCUGCAGCUGUUUUGAAGAGAUCUCUGGACUGGAGAAUGAAGGCAUUUUCUGGGAUGCCUGUAGCAUGACCUGAAGUCUUUUGUUUUCCCUAUUUGUUUCUUCUUCAAGGUUUUCACUAUUCUUAAUUCCCUUGUUCCAAUCUUACAAACGCUUUCGCAGAAUAAAAAGCACUGGUGUUUUACAAGGGGCAUCCUUCAAAGAGAGAGCUGGCACAGAUGAGUGAGCAUCACCCAGAUUUGUCUGCUGCUUUCAUGUGCUUUCCUGAUGGGUCACUGGAGCCUGACCUCGUUUAUGCUGGCCACUCGUGCUCUUAGAAAGCUAACUGGAGGAACUGAAGGCAGCUAAGCUGUAAGACUUGAGAAUGAAAUCAGGUUUGGGAACAUCUUUGUGCCUUUCUUAGCAAUUUCUCAUUAGGUAUAAAAUCGCUGUAGUAACUACUUAGACUUGCAUGUUCCAGGCUAGAUCUUGACUUUUUAUUUGGAUCCCGUCAGUAUAUCUUCAUUUAAUGAAGUUCUUGUUCCCUCUGCCUGGGAAUGUCCAAGUGUGAUGCUGAGAAAUUCUCAAGAGUUUGAUCAUUGUUAGCUGUUAGGAGCUGGUGCCCUUGUGUACUUGUGUCAGGAAUUCCAGGCUGAGUGAGUGGGAGCAGACAUCAUUGCUUGGGUACUCAAGCAAGGUUGCUUCUCUGUGCUGGUGUGGCUGUAAGUAUUUGGACAUCUCUGGCCCUUAAUGUUGUUGUCUGGUCUCUGGUGCAAACUUCAAAACUUCAGCUGCCCAUUUUGUCCACCUAAAGUCUCCCACCUAGCAAUUUAGCUUCACUUAAUUGGUAGAAUAGAGUAAAUCUUCGCUAUAUUCGGCUCCUGUUUAUUUACUUUAAUUAUAGUAAAUUUUGUCAGAAAUAAAAUGCUGUUGUGCUUCAUGUUAUGAAGCUUAUCAUAGUGAAUUUCAUGUUCUUUUGUGGAUAUAAAUCGUGGCUCCUUGUGUCAGCCAUAAGGUCGAGUGCAGAAUACUGAGCUCUGCUCCUGUGUUAAAGCUGGCAGCAGGUAUCAGCAUGGCUGAUGUGUCCAGAGAGCUGGCCACAAAGGGGCUCUUGUCUGCAAGAGCCAUAGGAUUGCUUAGGUUGGAUCACUGAGCCCCAUCCCUGCCAUGGGCUGGCUGCCCCCAGCUCAGGCUGCCCAGGGCCCAUCCGUGUUCUGGGGCACCUCCAGGGAUGGGGCACCCACAGCUCUGGGCAGCAGUGCUGGCACCUCACCACUCUGAGUGAAGAAUUACCCCCAGCAUCUCACCCUAUUUUCCUCUCUUGUGGUUUAAAACUGUCCAAUGUCCUAUUGCUAUCAGAGUCUUCAUCUUUUUUUAUAAGCUCUCUUUAUGUACUGAAAGGUCGCAAUGAGGUCCCCAUAGGGAUGACUACUAUUAGCUUCUGUGAUAGCUUCUGUGAGAUGCUGAUAUGAACUGUUGCCUUUCUGAGCCUAGAUCUAUGGACAGUACCCAAACACUGCUGUUUUCCAUGUGCUCAUCUGCCUUGACUUAAGCCCUUGUUGUUUGACAUAAGGGUCUCUAUAGCUCUUUAAGGAGUUUUUAACCAGCACCGUUGUGGAGGCAGGCCUCCUUCUGGACUUGUCUUUGAUAUCCUUGGUAGAGGAUAGGCAUUGCUGUCUUCAUUUCAGUUGUCUUUCUGUUUUUCUACUGACAGCUCCAAUUAGCUUGUUGCUCUACUUGUACAUACGAUGAGCUUUUAGUCACAGAAUCCCCAGAUGUCUCAAAUUGGAAGGGAUGCACAAGGAUCAUCGAGUCCAACUCCCGGCUCUGCAAAGGACCACCCAGAACUCAAACCCUUGGUUUGACAGCUUUGUGAGCUCUAGCAGCUUGGGGCCGUGACUGCUGCCCUGGGGAGCUUGUUCCAGCACUUGACCACCUUUUCCAGGACCCUUUUCCUAAUGCCCAACCAUUAUGGUAAUAUUUGUCGUAUUGUUCUAGCUGUACUAAGUGAGUUAGGGAUUCAGUCUUUAGUGUUGCACUAGGGCAAAAGUAGAAUAGGAGGCUUUAAAAAGGAAAAUAUUCAGCCAUUAAGUAUUAGAGCAGAGGUGAGUUGUGGCCCUGGUGAGAAAUUUGCUGCUUCUUUUGCACAUCACUGCAGUGCUAUACUCACAGCUCCUCCUGGAGACUCUGGGUUUUUCCUCCAUGGUAAGCCCAGAAUAGCUGUGUCCUUGAAGCACACAUGGAGGAGAUGUCCCAAAAGCUUUUACAUCUCCAGUCCAGCAACCAGAAAAUAUGGCUACAAAAAUAUGAACUCUCAAGUCUGAGCUUAGUGAAUCUGGAGAGCUGGGGAGGCAGACAAAACAAGGGCAAGGAUUUGGCUCUGGGUCUGUGCUGGCAGCAGCGCACAGCUUUCCUGCUGUCCUUCAGCUGUCCUUUGCGGGCAGCUUUGAGGUGUGGAUGGAAAAGCAACGUCUCACUUCUCAUUUUUAAACUAUUUCCCCAUGACCAUUGAAUCAAGCGCUGUGCAGCCUUGAGUCACCGAGCCUUAUUCACUGUGGAAUUUACUGAGACAAACAGCUACGACAUGCUGCUGCUAUUUAUAACGUUAUCUCAUUGUCUGUGGGUUACAUGAUGCUGUGUGGUAUGAGGGCUUGGAGGGGAGACCCUCUGCAAUGUGCAGCGUUUCCAAGCUUUUUUACUGCACUGUCCAUGUCAUUGAUGAAGGUAUUAAAGAGUAUCAGUCCCAGCACUGACCCUUCUGGGACACCUCUCACCUCCAGCUCCAUUCAGACAUGGAGCUAUUGACUGCUGCACUCUGGACUUAAUCCUGCAGCCAGUUCUUCGUCCAUUGAACAAUCCAUCAAAUCCACAUCUUUCCAAUUUGGUGAGAAGGAUGUUGUGGGGUACGGUGUCAAAGGCCUUACUGAAGUUGAGAUGGACGACAUCCGUGGCUCUUCCCUUCUACAUUGAUGCAGUGACACCAUCACAGAAGGCUAGCAGGUUGGUCAAGCAGGAUUCACCCUUGGUGAAGCCAUGCUGGUUGUCACAUAUCACCUCCUUUCUGAAAUAUCUGACUAGUGAUUUUCUUAGGAGCUUACUUUACAUGAGGGGCCAGUAGUUAAAGUCUCAUUUUGACCUGGAAAAGUUGACUUCUCCAAAAAAAUGAGUUAUGUGUAACUUUAAACAUGGCCAGAGUAUCCCAUCAGAGUUGCUGCAGCUGUCACUGGAACCUUUUCUCAAAGCAGAUGUGAAAUCGAUACCUGCAAGAUGCCUUCAGCUCAGAAGAAAACAAAGCUUAUUUCUGGAUCUGAGCCUUUUGAAUUGGUUCCAGAAUGCCCGAAGGAGUUGGGAGCGGGGAAUUCCCUGCUAACUCUUGCAAGCAAAAUGCGAAGGCAUUAAACUACUCUUGUAUCAAAGCAUAAGGGAAGGUGGCUGGGAAAUGUAUAACGGCAGCUGGAUUCCAUACACAGAUUGCUUCUUUGCCUGAUGUUCUAUCAAGGACAGCAUCCUCAAAUGGUUGAAUGAGACCUCUUCAAGCUGACACUGCAUGAGGAAGUUGGAUAUAAAAUAAGCCCUUCUCGGUAUAUCUGCAGCCAGACUUUUUUUGUUUGACUGGCAAACUGACUGACAGUAUUUAGUAUCACGUUCUUUGCAUUUCCUUUUUGGGUGUUGUGUGCUGCAUGUAUGAACCAUGUGAUGCAGUGUGGGAACAUGGAUGUACCUGAAUUUUGGCCUCCAUGCACAGCCUUCUACUUUGUACCUGAAGCAUACAGAGCAGUUGCAAGGGCUGGGAGGAGGGGGCUGUUCUCAGUGAGCUGCUUCAGCGGAGACUUUCUGCUCACUGCUGUAGCCAAAAGAGGAGAACAGAGCUUGGGCUGGUGAAAACCAGGACUGCCAUGCCCGGCCCAUCAUCUCCCCUCCAGCUCAGAUGCUGGCAUGCUGGAUGUGGAAGAAAACCUUUUGUUGUGAAAGCAAGGCUGGUAGGAAAGCUGCUAUCUGCUUAUCAGCCCAGCUGUGUACGGUGCUGGUACUGAUGUACCCUGCCAGCUUAUCCCAUUUCAAAGGGCUGAGAGCAAAGCAGUAAGGAGCACAGAGGAGGGCAGUAAAGAUGAAUUACUGGCUGCUGUUGUACGAGUGAUUGAGCUGAUUACAGCUAUCUAGCCUUGAACAAGAUUGGAUAGGAGACUACCUGAUAAAAUAGGUGAACAGCUCACUCUUUCUGCCAAGAACUAGGGGACAUCAAAUGGAAGCAGUAGAUGCCAGAUUCAAAGUGAAAGAUGGUCUGGAGGUGCUGGGAGUUUGAGAGCUGAACACAGGAUUCCACACAUUGCAUAGGAGGCAAAUAUACUUGAGCUCCAAACAGAGUCAGGAAGCCCCUAAACCACAAACAGGUGCUUUGGGAGAGGUUAUUUAGGGGAAGCUUCACUGCAAGGUUGUCUUAUCUUUGCAUUCUCUCCUGGUUAAUCAUACUGGGUGAUGGGAAGGGACUGCUGGGCUGACUUGCCUUUUAGCCUCAAUGUGGCUCUUCUCAUGUAAAGCUGGCAAAAGGAACCCAGUUUUCACGAGCAAAACUGCUUUGGCAGUUCUUUUCUAUGAGAACUGUAACUUUAAUUAUUGCAUAGUGACUUGUAGCAGCAUUUAAUCCAGUGUUCUGGUUGCUUUGCUGCUGCAGUACAAGGGCACAUGAGGUGUGAGUUUGCCCUGUGAACAGUGCCCUGGCAAUACAACCUCUGAACAUCUGCCUUUUUACACAUUUUUGUUUAUCUGCAAGUUUUUGUUUUCCAUCUCAAAAAAAAAGUUGAAUUGCAUCUGCUUAUUAAAACAAAAAAAAAAAGUGAAAUCUGAUCUUGUAUAGAGUUAUUGGAAGUUAUUAAUGAAAAGAGUGGGACAUUUCCACCUUCUCUACUUGCUUUAAUUAUACCAGGAGAUGGGGGGCAGGUGUCAGUCCCUGCUUCUGUGAGCAGUGCAUCAAUUUCACCCCGACUAUGGGAAAAGCAACAGAGUGGCAUAAAAGCAUAGGAUCAUCUGCAAUGAUGCUGACUGUGGGAUGGCUUGCAGGCCUUGCAGUCUGCAUUUAGUGUGCUUUCUGAAAUCCCACGCUGGAAAUCCCUUCUUUAUAAAGAUAUGUCACUGUUAUGAACCCUUAUCCGUGCUUUACAAUGGUUAUUUCUUAAGAGGAUUAUGUAUCUUUGUAUCACCCAUACUGAAAAGAAUAUCAAGCAUGUGUCCCAGGGUUUUGUUGUUUCCUGAGCUUUGUAAAUACUGUUAAGAAAUAAAAUGCACUGGUUUACCAUAAUAAAUCCUAAUACUUCAGGAGAUAAUAAGCACUAUUGGAGGUUAUUUGCUUCAGAAGACGGGUGAGUUACCUUGCAGCAUCAGGUGGGCUGUUGUCCAGUACACACUGUGGGGUGGGAUGCUGCCUUGGCUAUUUAAAAGCUCAUUAAAAUUGCAUCUCCCAUGCUAUGGUUCUGUCCUUACCCCCUCCAGCUAGCUGUCCAGGCUUCUGUGAGCAAGCCAGAAUUGAUCACAGCAAUUAGCUGAGCCCAGGGGAGAUUUCUAAAUGCUAAUGUGUAUAGUUGUUUGGUUGUUGGUUUUUUUUCUUUCUUUUUUUUUUCUUUCUUUUUGCUGUUAGCUGAUGUGUUACUGCUAGUGAUGGGUGCUUCCUCACUUUAAUGCAUUCAUUCUUCUCCUCUGUCUUUAACAGUUAUCUGUAGACUGUUCUGUAGACAGUGGAAUCGUAGAAUCACAGAAUGUCUUGGGUUGGAAGGGACCUCAAGCAUCAUGCAGCUCCGAACCCCCCUGUCACAGGCAGGGCCACCAACCUCCAUAUCUAAUUCUAGACCAGGCUGCCCAGGGCCCUAUCCAACCUGG
Molecule: long non-coding RNA, 10044 nt
Organism: Tympanuchus pallidicinctus (lesser prairie-chicken)
Lineage: Eukaryota; Metazoa; Chordata; Aves; Galliformes; Phasianidae
Exons: 3
Source: RefSeq, a predicted model, not a curated record